Molecule: long non-coding RNA, 2826 nt
Organism: Ananas comosus (pineapple)
Lineage: Eukaryota; Viridiplantae; Streptophyta; Magnoliopsida; Poales; Bromeliaceae
Exons: 8
Source: RefSeq, a predicted model, not a curated record
CAUUGCCUAUCUGCUCCUUCUCUCUUAGCAGGUUACCCAUCUUCGUCCCCUCCGCCUCGCCACUGUUGUCUUCAUCACCCCCACGAGGCUGCCACAGCUACGCCUUUGAGGUUCCAGAACUCCCACGAGGGGCUUCCACAGCUGCUUCGCCGUGGGCAAACGCGCGCCGCCUCGUCCUCCCCUGCGGCCAGAAGUCGCAGGUACCCGCCUUCUAGCCAAACUCGCAGGUGGAACCUCCUUUGAGGUUGACCUCAAAACCCUAAUCCCCCGCGGCCAGAAGCUCAUCUUCAAAGAUCAUUACUCCUGAGGCUUUAGCAAGUGUAAAAGCUGCCAUCACAAGUAGUGAAGUUGAUAAAAUAGCAGAGGCAAAGAAGAAAGCAAUACCUCGUAAAGCUGCUAGGCAGACCUAGGUGGAUCCGACAUUAGCAGAUUGGCUUGAAAUUAUCUACAAUAUUUCAUCACUCUGUAACUUGGUGAAGAAGGAUCUGAUCUUGGAUAGCUCUAAGCAGUUGAUGAUGAUUUACCGAGCUUCAGCUUGAGGUGGUGUCUCGACUUCCGCAUGCAAUUGCCCUACACAGAAAUAUAAAUUGAAGUUGUGAAUCACUUUAGCUUUCUCAUUGAAAUCUAUAGGUAGAAAGGCGGAUGGGAAUUGAUAAAAGCUGGAUGAGUCUUAGGAAUCGAGCAUGUAAUGAGUAUUAGAUUGUAUUUGAUGUAACUGAGCGCAAUAUCAAUGUAGAAACAAACGAAGAGGACCUCUUAAACUAUAAUGAUGAUGACAUUGAUUCCUUUGCGAAUAAAACUUGAGCCACCUUGCUCUUAGGCAAUGGUGGGAGAAAGCAAGAAGUCCGUAGUACAAGUUCAAAAGUCUAAUAGAGCCUCGACUUCAUCACGAAGAACUGUGGAGUGUCGAUCUGAAAAACCAUGGCUUAGAUCACAAUCCCAAAAAUCUGAACCUAAUCCACCUCUCAGUGAAAAUCCACAUGCAUCCACUCAUAUUCCUUCAACUAUAACUGAUCGGUCGUCAUCUCCAACUAUUGCUAAUCCGGACACUAACACUACAGAUUCGAUGCUUCAUUUUGGAUAAGUUGCACUGUUUGUCAUUGAACAUUCAGCUAAGUUUAAUUUAAGCAAGUUCAUUUGUGAGUUAUAGUUUGAAGCACUGAACUUAGAACAGUUGACUUAUUUUUACAAAUGCAACAACUAAUUAGAAUUGUUCUUUUAUUUCUCAUGCAGGGCCGGGAUGUCUACAUCCUAGUAAGCUUAUUUUCUUGUUGUUGCCUUCUGGAAUGCAUAGAUCCAGGAUAUGCUUGGUUUGGUUUUGUUUCGUUCAUAUUUGAUUUGUCUUAGGCUUUAAAUUGUUUUAUUUUAAGAUUACUUGUGUUGGACUGUUCAUCUUCCUGUUUCUCUUUUGAGUUCUUUGUGUUUGUGAAUGCGAUUUUCAGCUUCCUAUUCAGCUUCCUAUUUCUCUUUUGAGUUCGUUGUGUUCAGCUUCCUGUUAAUGGUUUAGACUUAGAAAAUUAUUAGUACUAGUGGGCUACGCCGUUACUUAGUUACAGAAACUCCUCUCUCAUCUCAUCCUCGUGCGCUGCUGCUAGUAGAAGUUUUUGGUUUUCGGAAGGUAUUGUGUGAUUGUAGGAAACUGUAUGACUCAAAACUACUAGUUCCUCUGUGAUUCAAUUGUGAUAAUCACGUGCUUGUGCUCUUCCAGAGUUUAACUAUUUCUUGAUCUAUUUGUGGAAAGAAAAAUUAAUAAGUUGUUCUUCUUCUAGACGGCCUAUAAAAUUCCGCUUCAGGUUUUGGUGAUUGUUCUUUACUGAUUUUAACCUUUUUCUAUUCGGCAUGUUCUGUAUUUAUGUAGCGACUAUAACGAAGGCAGAGAAUGGUCCCAGAUAUCACCUUGCUUUUGUUUUAAUGUGUUGAUUGAGCAUAAAGUAUUCAUCAAAAUAUCGAACUAUAAAAACCAGAUGCUGAGUGGUCUAUAUUCUUAUUGUCCUUUAACAGUUAGUGUAAAUGCGGUGCUAGGCUGAAAAAAAUGGCUUGCAAAUUCCUGUUCUGUUGGCCCAUUCCAGUUUCUACUGCGUGCAGAGACCCUCAUUCAAUGUUCGCGACAUUCAAUCUGCAGUUUUAUCUGAUUCAUGAUAGAUAUUACAUGUACAUCUCAGCAUUCCAUUUGUCGCCAUCGACUUUUUAAGAGUGGUUGCGCUGUAACAACUCAGUAGAUUGAUUCACUACCCUCUUGAUGUCCUUGUAGCUGGUAUUCAUGAUGCUUUUAAGCCUAGAAAUUCUUCUUUAUUAUUUUUUAAGUUACUAUACGUACGUACGAGCUAGUGAUCAAGAUGGCAACUACACAAUAACAACUUUCUUUUAGACAGAAAAAGCGCUUCCAGGUGAUAGCACUUUGUUGUCUAGUUUCAAUAAAUUGUGUUUGAUUAUUAAGGCGGCUGAAUUCGGUGCAUCUGUGCCUGCUUUUGGGGUCCAUUUGGUUAACAAUUUGUUCUUCCCUGGGACCAUCCAAAGGAUUCAGCCGACACUCUUACAUUCAGUCCAUUCAAAGAUGAGCAGUACCAUUUUAUUCACUCGAAAUUUUGAUUACUUUGGCCAAACAUGGGAUCAUACUUAAUACCGUACGAUUAAGAAAAUAAGAUUUGAAGCGCUUCAAAUCUGAUUGUUUGUUUGUGAUUGAAAUAUGAGCUGAAAUAAACGUUACCUUGUUACUUGUUACUUCAUUCGCAUUCGUAUCUUACUGUUUUGUAAUUUCUUUUUAUGUAAUGCUAGUCAUAUUUGUAAUUAUUAUUCUGAUUUCUCAAAGUUACUUAGUUUCUUUGU